AGUGAACGCUGGCGGUAGGCCUAACACAUGCAAGUCGAACGGCAGCACAGUAAGAGCUUGCUCUUACGGGUGGCGAGUGGCGGACGGGUGAGGAAUACAUCGGAAUCUACUUUUUCGUGGGGGAUAACGUAGGGAAACUUACGCUAAUACCGCAUACGACCUACGGGUGAAAGCAGGGGAUCUUCGGACCUUGCGCGAUUGAAUGAGCCGAUGUCGGAUUAGCUAGUUGGCGGGGUAAAGGCCCACCAAGGCGACGAUCCGUAGCUGGUCUGAGAGGAUGAUCAGCCACACUGGAACUGAGACACGGUCCAGACUCCUACGGGAGGCAGAAGUGGGGAAUAUUGGACAAUGGGCGGAAGCCUGAUCCAGCCAUACCGCGUGGGUGAAGAAGGCCUUCGGGUUGUAAAGCCCUUUUGUUGGGAAAGAAAAGCAGCAGGUUAAUACCCCGCUGUUCUGACGGUACCCAAAGGAUAAGCACCGGCUAACUUCGUG
RNAcentral lists this ribosomal RNA (492 nucleotides) under uncultured bacterium. Its description in RNAcentral is "partial 16S ribosomal RNA". It matches the Rfam family "Bacterial small subunit ribosomal RNA", at positions 29 to 507 of the family's 1533-position model. The record is from RNAcentral.